GACGAACGCUGGCGGCGUGCUUAACACAUGCCAGUCGAACGGAAAGGCCCUGCUUUUGUGUGGUGCUCGAGUGGCGAACGGGUGAGUAACACGUGAGUAACCUGCCCUUGACUUUGUGAUAACUUCAGGGAACUGGGGCUCAUACCGGAUAGGAGCUCCUGCUGCAUGUUGGGGGUUGGAAAGUUUCGGCGGUGGGGGAUGGACUCGCAGCUUAUCCGCUUGUUUGUGUGGUAGUGGCUUACCAAGGCUUUGACGGGUAGCCGGCCUGAGAGGGGGAACAGGGACAAUGGGACUGAGAGAGGGAGCAGAAGGGUAUGUGAGGCAGCAGGGGGGAAUAUGACACAACGGGCGGAAGUGUGAGGCAGAAACGUUGGGUGCGGGAUGAUCGGCUAUGGGGGGUAAACAGAUGUGGACGGUGACGAAGAGUGAGUGACGGUAAUGGGUAAAGAAGCAACGGCUAACUACGUG
Molecule: ribosomal RNA, 468 nt
Filed under: uncultured bacterium
Lineage: Bacteria
Description: partial 16S ribosomal RNA
Rfam family: Bacterial small subunit ribosomal RNA
Source: RNAcentral